CCUCCUAUUGACAAUUUAGUUAAGGCGUGGCAUGAGAGAGAUCUGCGUUAUAGAUACUAAUGACCCACAGUCUGUUGCUAAACAGAAGGAAUAAAGGAAUCAAGGGAAUGUAUAGUUCUGGAAAAGGAAGAAAAACAACAAAACACAAAAAAAUCGCACACACACACACACAAAAACAACACUAAAACUCUACAAAUAUUUACAUUUGCUUGCAUUUGACAACAACCAGUCUGUUACAGGCUGAGAAGAUUACAAACAGGUUUUCCGACAGUUUCGUUUUCCAGGGAUGGUCACGGGGGUGGACAGAACAGCAAGGCUGUAAAUAAGAACUUAGUCCUUCCCUAGGUAUCAAGAACUCUGCUGCGUUUUCCUCUUCUGUCGGCAAUUUGUGCUAUUUGUGAUCCUACAGAGUUGAUGGUGUAAUGCAGUUGGCCAGAGUCCCACUGCAAGGAAUGCAGCGCUGCCAAGUCAACCACCCGUACUAACCACAAUCUCCCUGCAGAUCUCACUAACCUGGCAGCUCAGCUUUGUUUAGUAACAUAAAUAAAAAUGAGAGCACCUUUUCCUGUCUUCACUGCCCUCCUCCAUCUUCUGGGGGUCUUUUCUGGGAAAAUGCAAGGGAGUUAAGCAGAUUCCCCAGGGCUAAAAGUGACGCUUAUAACAUGUAACACUGUCAUAACCUUCAACGUCUCUCGUGUUCUGAUUUCUGCUUUACCUGAAAUAUGAGAAGUGUGAGUCAUGACCAUUUCCCUUGUACCACAAUGAGGAGGAAUGCUGAUAUAUGGGAACUGAUGAAGAAGCACAAGGGAACCAAUGUUCACCUCUUCAUCCCAACGAAAUCUGAUGGUGAAUCACAGGCUGCAAAAUACAACUGAGCAAGUUAAAUUCCACUUCCCUUGAACACGGAAGCAAGUAGAACAUUUUGUCACGUGGUCACAUCAGCAUAUCGCAACAACAAGCAGAGUCACCUGGUGAAACGACCCAUUCAGAGAUUUAGAGGGAAAAUUUCCUUAGGGCAGGUGGCACAGGACAUCUGGCAGCCCACUAACUUUUGUUCUGAGUGUAACACCUAUGCUGGAGGGCAUCCUGCCAGAAGCUGCACCCACCUGAGACACGGCCAGCUCAAGAUGAAAGGGAACACAAAAUUCAACAGGAUGGUUAUCUUUUACUGAUGACUGAGGUACUGGACUGAGGUACUGGACUGAGGUACCUGGGAACACACUAGCUCCCCUUAGGUUUGGUAUAGUUUGGUAAUGUCAGGCAGCUAAGAAAGUUAAUCAGGCCAGAAACAGGCUUGUAUAUGCUUUCUCCACAGGGAUUAAGAACUACUUGCCAAAUAUUCAGAUUGGGUAAUUGCUACCUGGAUUAGCAAGGGUAUGCAGCCCAAAAAUAAAAUAAUUGCUUAGAGUUUCUGAUAAAUUGCA
Molecule: long non-coding RNA, 1424 nt
Filed under: Coturnix japonica (Japanese quail)
Lineage: Eukaryota; Metazoa; Chordata; Aves; Galliformes; Phasianidae
Description: lncRNA (ENSCJPG00005008645.1)
Source: RNAcentral